GUUAUAGGAUCAAGCGACUAAGUGCAUAUGGUGGAUGCCUUGGCGAUCACAGGCGAUGAAGGACGUAGUAGCUUGCGAUAAGCUGCGGGGAGCUAGCAAACAAGCUUUGAUCCGCAGAUUUCCGAAUGGGGCAACCCAACACCGCAAGGUGUUAUCACUCACUGAAUACAUAGGUGUGUGAAGCGAACCGGGUGAACUGAAACAUCUCAGUAACUCGAGGAAAAGAAAUCAACCGAGAUUCCGAAAGUAGUGGCGAGCGAAAUCGGAUGAGCCUUCAUAUUUUAGCAAUUUAGAUAAUCGAACGGAUUGGAAACUCCGGCCAUAGCAGGUGAUAGCCCUGUAGAUGAAAUCUGAUUUGUGGAACUAGGUAUGAGAUAAGUAGGGCGGGACACGUGAAAUCCUGUUUGAAGAUGGGGGGACCAUCCUCCAAGGCUAAAUACUCGUGAUCGACCGAUAGUGAACCAGUACCGUGAGGGAAAGGCGAAAAGAACCCCGGAAGGGGAGUGAAAUAGAUCCUGAAACCG
This 524-nucleotide ribosomal RNA is filed under the name Variovorax sp. RNAcentral describes it as "partial 23S ribosomal RNA". It matches the Rfam family "Bacterial large subunit ribosomal RNA", at positions 1 to 558 of the family's 2925-position model. Lineage: Bacteria; Pseudomonadati; Pseudomonadota; Betaproteobacteria; Burkholderiales; Comamonadaceae. The record is from RNAcentral.